Molecule: long non-coding RNA, 3494 nt
Organism: Heterocephalus glaber (naked mole-rat)
Lineage: Eukaryota; Metazoa; Chordata; Mammalia; Rodentia; Bathyergidae
Source: RefSeq, a predicted model, not a curated record
CCACCAGCGAGUCCACACUGCUGGGUAUGUCUCAGUGUGUCCGAGGCCUGGUGGCAUCUCAGGAUCUGCCAGAACAGAUGUGCAGCAGACCUAAGCAUGGUGCCCUGUGUGCUGGGAGGACAGUGGCUGCACGAGCCCUCCUCACUGCCCUAGUCACCCAAUGUGCCGGGCAGGUGGCAGUGGCUGGUGUGUGGUGGUCCUUUCUGGGUCUGGUGGUCUGAUGCAGUGCUGCCACAUGCUGGCCUUCCGAUGUUUGGGAGUGUGGCCUUAGGGUUGCAUCUUUCUUUCCUACACACGGGGAACAGUAAUGCCUUCCUCACAGCUUGCUGGAAGGACUGAAUGAGAUACAGCAAGGGCAAUGCUGGUAAGCACUUUACUAUUUUGCAGUACUGGGGACUGAACCCAGCUAUAUUGUCAACCUCCCAUUAAAUUUUUUGAGAUGUGGCCUCACGAAGUUGCCCUGGCUGGGCUUGAACUUGUGACUCUGCCUCAGCUCCAAGCGCUGGAACUCCAGGGACAGUGAGGGCUUCUCCCUGCAGGGCCCCUUAGCCUCUCUGGGAUCUGCAGAGGAAGCGAGCCGCCACGUAAAGACCCUAAACCCACAGGGCGGGGGUGCUGAACUCAUUUCCCGACCCUUUCGGGCUCCCUGGUUCCCCCGGUGUUCCUGAAGCUGCAGUGUCCUGGCAUUUGAGGGGAAUGAAGCCAUGGGCAGCCAGCUUUGGCUGUUACAGUUCAAGAAGACCCCAGGCCCCACCCCAGGGACCCUGCUCCUGGGCAGACAGGGAGGCCUGGAUUCAUGCACCCUUUUCUCCCUGCACCCCGGCCCACAAACCCCUGCCUGUAAGUGUGCAACCCUGGCUGCAAUUCUCCCCACGCUCAGAGAUGGACUAAUAGGAGGGGCCCUGAAGCCCUGGCCAUGGCUGACAUCUCCCCCAGUAGCAGGGUUAGGGUUAAGUGAGACAGAUGAGAAAGAUCAGGCCUUUACUACAAAAUCUCUCAAAAGCACACAGCAGCAGUGCCUUUAAAACAUUGCCAAGCAAUUCUCAGGGGCAGAGCCCCUCUCUCAAAAGUUUAUUGCGUAUUAUCACAACUGAAGCAGUGUGGGUAUCACUGAAGCUUGCAGCAGUUGUCUGGAGGUGUGGGUUAGAGCCAACGCACCUGACUGCAUUAGCAGCCUUCUGGAAGGAGGCGGGAUGGGAGGCGGCCCCUCCAGGCCGGCCUUGCUCCUGCUGCCUCCCAGGGCACCUGGGAUGUACUCUCAGGCCCCAGGUGACCCCUGCCCACUCAGGGACCUGGGCUGUUUGUGGGAGCAGCAACGCUGACUGUGGGUGUGGGGUGGGGAGGUGGACCACUUCCCACUCAGGCUUUGGUGUUCCGGGCAUAGGUGUUUUCACCUUCCCUCAUGGGGACACAUCCUGGGGAUGGAGGAACUGUGUGGCAGCUGCUGUCACCUGCCUACCGCCUCCUGUUCUGUUGCAUAAUUCCUCCAGCUCUGUGGGGCUGGGCAGAUGACUCAGCAGCCCUGUCGCCCCAGGGAGGGCAGGGAAGGCUCAUCUUUUUUCUCCUUCCUCCGGUGCUGGGAUGGAACCUGGGCCUUGGGCAUGCUAGGCACUGCCUUCACUGGGCCGCAUCACCUGAACGCUCGCCUCCUGACUGUGACAGGUGCAUGUCCUGAGGCCUUCGACUCCAAGCCAAGGCAGGUGGGGGUGGCUAGAGGGGCCUGCUGGUGCAGGAGAGGAGAGGAAAGCAGAGCUCAUGCCCUCACUUCCCCCAAGCCUGCAUGGUCUGAAUAUCACCUGGAGACCAGUUCAGCCUCCCUCCCUGCUCCAAGGCCCCUUUCAAAAGGCAGUCAUGCUCCAGGGAACUUUCUAGGCCCUGGCAGUACCCCCGCUGGGCCAGUCCAGGAGGAGCCACGUGUGAGCCUGUGGCUCGGCAGGGGUGAACCGUGCAGAGCAGCUUCUCUGUCUGUCCCUGCAAAGCUCAGAACAGGUUGCUACCCCAGUGUGGCACCCGGGGCUGGCCCUGGCCUGGGCUCCUUGCCCUCUUGGGGAUCCACUUUUGUUUGUCCUCGAGGUCAACCAGGUGGAGGUGUGACCCCGAGAGCCGCCUGAGGCGUCCCUGGCUGUCUGUGGGCGUGAGGAGGACGUGGGCUAAGGGCGGGUGAUGCCAGCCUUCCUUGAACAAGGAAAGCUCAACAGUGCCAACAGUGCUGGUUUUGAGUCAUUUCUCCUUCUCCCGCCGAGGCCAGCACCCCAGACCCGAGGAGUGAAGAGCGGGGGACUGAUGCUGAGAAGGGAGGCUUUGGUGAGGAGCAGGGAGAGGGAGCCAAGAAGAGAAGAGGAUGACGUCAUCGGCCCCCAGGACUGGCCCGACCUGCCAUCAGCCGUCUGUCCAUUGGCAGCAGGACGAGAGCUCUGGGAAGGGCCAUGCCUGCUCACCUGCUGCAGGUCAGCGACACUGAACUUGUGGGGAGACUCCAGGAGAUAAUGCCUGUGGCCAAGCCUGAAAGAAGUACAAGAGCUUCCUCAGCCAGGCUUGAGGCCCAGGCCAGCCUGUGACAUCUCCCUCCCCACAGCACUGCUGGCUGGCAGGGCCUCACAGGGAGACCACGAACUGGCAGGACUUGGCUUUCUGAAACAGGAAGCUGCCAUUUAUCACCAGGAAGACAGAGGGACUCACAGGCCAGCCCUGAGCAGGUCCACAGCCCCUCCAGGUGCCCGGGGAAGAUGAGGCUCCUGAGAUAGCCCAAGAUGUUCUACCACCUUGCAAGACAGGAGGCCACAGCAUCUCAGAAAGGGGCAGGAUGGGCCGGCCUGGCCAAGAAGGGGGGCCCAGGCAAGCCCCCAGCCAGCCUCUGACCAACCAGGCCCUGAGGGAGGAAGGUGAGCGCUGCAGGGGCUGCUCUCCAGGUCGAGGGCCGGCUCCAGCCCCGAGGAGCAGAGCUGAUGUGGCUGACCAGGACCCAGGAGCCCCUCCGUGCUCCCCGGGCAGCCCAGAGGCGAAGCCAGGGCACCUGCAGUGAGCCCUGGUGGCCUUCAUGCCCAUCCUUCAGCCCAGCAUCACCUCCCACCCUGAGUACCAAGGAGCUUCUGCAUCAGCCUUCCAUGCUCAGUGUGCACUUUCGGGAGGACACCGCCAUGAAGCUGCCAGCAGCCGGGACAGGGAGGAGACAGGAAGCCUCCGGAGCCGGCCACUCACUGCACUCCCACCCUGGCCAAGGUCCUCGCUGAGCUUGCUGUGCAUGGCUAGAACCCCUGCCCCUUCCCAACUCCUCCAGGAAGCCCCCAGCCUGUGCCACCUUCCUUGGGUGAGUCUCCCUCUGUAACUGCAGGCCUCCUUCCUGCCUCUGGUUGCCGCUGCUCAUCACCUCCAGGAGGCAGGCCCUGCACCUGCCCUGCUCAGCAUGAGACCCAAACACGCCCCGCCUGCUGUGUGGUACUUUCCCUGUUCCCAGGAAAUAUUUGUUGAAUGAACCAAUAAAUGUAUAAACGGGC